This 3057-nucleotide long non-coding RNA is filed under the name Sus scrofa (pig). RNAcentral's name for it is "lncRNA (ENSSSCG00045030295.1)". Lineage: Eukaryota; Metazoa; Chordata; Mammalia; Artiodactyla; Suidae. The record is from RNAcentral.
AUGUGCAAAUAUAAAGCAUGUGAGCGGGUAUGCCCGUUGUACGUGGAGCCAGGAAGGAGGCGGGGCAGCCAUCCGCUGGUUUCUCCUGCCUGCCUCUGCAAACUACUCUGGUUACCCGGCCUCCACCGCAGGCCCUUGGCAGGGGCGGUGCGCUGGGUCUGCGCGGUGCUGGCAGCCGCAGAGUGGAGGGUGAACCCGAUGGCCUCUUCAGUCUAUUUAGCAGGCUCUGAGAUGUAUUGUUGCUCCGUUUGCCCCGCGCUGCUCGGCGCCUCAUCUCUCCGCAUCCAGACGCGCAGUUUCUCACCUCCAGAGAGCAGCAGAGAUCUCGGGCAGGCUGCUGCGGCUAAUGGUGGCAAUUAAUAACUUGUCAUAAUCCGGAGGAUGAAAGGGAAGGCGCCCCAUCAGCAGGCGGGUCAUGGCGCUGCUCGCAAGCAAAUGAGGUGCAGGUGUGGCCUCCACUACGCGCUGACACCGGGUGCGCGGUGCCAGCCCGGGACCCGCGGGCCGCUGGCCGCUCCCCGGGCGCGCACGGCCCCCGCCCGGUCCACCCCGCUGCGGAGAAAUCUCCGGAACGUAUCAAUAAAUCAGAGCGCUCGGCACAGACCUUCCCAACACUUAAUUGCACCUUGAACGCUGUUAACUCUGCCAGGCCCUACUCGUCUGAGGUUUUUACCCCCCAGACUUGCAAAGAAUUGCACACCUCACACACCCCCGCCCCCCCAUUAUUAUCCCCGUGUCUACCCCGUGCAAACACUGCAACCUUUGAAAGUGAACGUGGUAAAUAAACAGCCAGCUGCUGAGCCCGAUCUGGUGGGCUCUCGGUUCCCCCAGUGGAGCUGGAGCACGUGAAAUCCCCGUUAGGGUUUAAGGAAACCGCAAAACACAGAAUCACUUAUUUUCCGACAGCCCCAGCCCGGUUGCCUCUUUUCUUGUUUCCAUUCCUGUGGGUCAGUUCUGCUUGAAAUGAACCAAGUUUACAAAUCUCUUCUGGUUUGUACACUCCUAUUAUGCAUACGAGGUGAUGCAUUUGUAACUGUCACACAAGUCAGGGUGAUACAGCACUCUCAUCUGACCCUAUUCAUUUAAAUGGGUGCGUCUUGAUGACAUUGAUUCAUGUUAUAAGUUAUAUCCAUGCAUUAUAAUCUUUAUGUGUCACCCCACUGGUUAUUUCUACUACAGAAGCUGGGGGGGGGGGUGGUUUGCAGUUGCAGCAAAUGAUGGUGAGUAGGAUUUGAGAGUGCUUUGAACAAUAUGAAGUCCAUAUAAACUCCAAAGCUUUCUAGAUAAGUUUAUUACAUGUCCCUAUCUUGAGAGAAGGAAAUUUACAUGCAGAACAGUCCUGGGAGAGGUGUCUUUUGCUGUAAAUAUUCUGCUGACUAACUUAUUAAUAUUUGGAGAGUGUGUGCUUCAAAUGCAUUUCGCACCAAAGUAAAGGGGUAAGUAAACAUGAUUAUGCAUGCAUGUAAGUCUUUAUCAAGGUGGGGUUAAUAAUGUUUUAAAGCAGAACUAUUUCUCAUGAAAAUAGCUGCUCUUAAUAGCCUCUGUCUCUUUAUUGUGCUUCUUACUGAAACAUAAAUCACUAAUAUGUUUUCAGCAGCAAAGUACUCUCUUUUCCCAUUGUAUUCACAGAUUUAGUGGCAUUUCAAAUAGAUAAACACAAGCAACAUCUAUCAACACUACAAAAAGGGCGCCUUAAUCAAAGCUCCAGGUCCCGGGUCUCAGCAUCUCCAUUUACCUUGAGAUAAAUCCAUUGGUGUGACCACCACUGCACCGGGUGACAAAUCACCCCAGCCGGCCGAGCAGCGCAAGGGCUUAUUGGCCUUCCUUUAAGUGGUCUUACCCUUCAAUGAAAAGGAUGGGGCUUGUCAAGCAGGACCAGAUUAAAGUUAGACAAAAAGAAAUGAUCUGUUAUUAGAAAACUCCGAUUGAGAAUCACAAAACAGGAAAGAAAUAUGAAUAAAAAUUUCCAGGGGGAAGACCAUCUGAUCCCAACAGAAAUUAACUCCCAUUAUGGGCGUGAGGUAAUAGAUGGCCUGCAGUUGGAGCUAAUGGGGAUUUCAGAUUAAGGUGUGGGGGCACGGCUGGGGAGGGGGGAGGGUGUUCGCAGCUGCCCUGCACAUUCAAGAGCAAAGUUCAGGAAUGACCUGGGCUCCUGGCUUCCUGGGAUAGGUUGUGGUUCAGGUGGGGCAAGGAAAUUACAGGCUCUUAGAAGCGAGGGCUCACUCGUGAUUGCCUGGGUCCUUCCCAGAAGGGUAACCCUGGCAGGAACCCCAGGGGCAGGUUGAUUUCCCUAUGUCUGAGACAAGGAGAAACUGAAAGCUUCAUGUAACUUGCCCAAAGGUACACAACUAAGGGCAGAACUGAAGUCACUCGGGGAGAAAGGAGAUGAUCGGGCUGCUUCCAGUUCACUGGGACUCCAUUAUUUGGUCUGAUUUUGGGAGAUGAGCUUACUCUGCCUCUGGAUUUAAAGACUUAGAUUAUCUUCCCAAUUAACAGGGGGAAAAGAAAACAGAAUGGGGCCUCUGUAGUCAGCGAGCCUUCUUAGAGUCGUCUUGAGCCAAAGCCUGAUGCUUAUACAAAUAACAGUAGCUAAAGCUUUGCGGUUCUUACUGGGUGCCAGGUACUGUCUGUGCAUUAUCUCAUUUGAUCCACAGAUAGCUACUUUCAUCAUCAUCCCCAUUUCACAGAGGAGAAUACGGAGACCUAAAGAAUUUAAGCAACUUGCCCAAGGUUGACUAAUAAAUGGAGGAGUUUGCAAAAUGGCUUAAAGACUUAAAUUAUAAGACAAGACACCAUCAAACUCCUGGAAGAGAACAUAGGCAAAACACUCUCUGACAUCAACCUCAUGAAUAUUUUCUCAGGUCAGUCUCCCAAAGCAACAGAAAUAAAAGCAAAAAUAAACCAAUGGGACCUAAUCAAACUAACAAGCUUUUGCACAGCAAAAGAAACCAAAAAGAAACAAAAGACAACUUACAGAAUGGGAGAAAAUAGUUUCAAAUGAUGCAACUGACAAGAGCUUAAUUUCUAGAAUAUACAAGCAACUUACACAACUCAACA